Molecule: transfer RNA, 16 nt
Filed under: Hypostomus regani
Lineage: Eukaryota; Metazoa; Chordata; Actinopteri; Siluriformes; Loricariidae
Also listed under: 1 other name
Description: partial transfer RNA-Pro
Source: RNAcentral
ACUCAACUAUUUUCUG